GUGGGGAAUAUUGGACAAUGGGCGAAAGCCUGAUCCAGCCAUGCCGCGUGUGUGAAGAAGGUCUUCGGAUUGUAAAGCACUUUAAGUUGGGAGGAAGGGCAGUAAGUUAAUACCUUGCUGUUUUGACGUUACCAACAGAAUAAGCACCGGCUAACUUCGUGCCAGCAGCCGCGGUAAUACGAAGGGUGCAAGCGUUAAUCGGAAUUACUGGGCGUAAAGCGCGCGUAGGUGGUUCAGCAAGUUGGAGGUGAAAUCCCCGGGCUCAACCUGGGAACUGCCUCCAAAACUACUGAGCUAGAGUACGGGAGAGGGUAGUGGAAUUUCCUGUGUAGCGGUGAAAUGCGUAGAUAUAGGAAGGAACACCAGUGGCGAAGGCGACUACCUGGACUGAUACUGACACUGAGGUGCGAAAGCGUGGGGAGCAAACAGGAUUAGAUACCCCUGUAGUCC
Molecule: ribosomal RNA, 450 nt
Filed under: uncultured bacterium
Lineage: Bacteria
Description: partial 16S ribosomal RNA
Rfam family: Bacterial small subunit ribosomal RNA
Source: RNAcentral